Molecule: ribosomal RNA, 253 nt
Filed under: uncultured bacterium
Lineage: Bacteria
Description: partial 16S ribosomal RNA
Rfam family: Bacterial small subunit ribosomal RNA
Source: RNAcentral
UACGGAGGGUGCGAGCGUUGUCCGGAAUUACUGGGCGUAAAGCGCGUGUAGGCGGAUGGGCAAGUCUGCUGUGAAAGCUCCUGGCUUAACCGGGAGUGGUCGGUGGAAACUGCCAAUCUGGAGGACGGUAGAGGUAGGUAGAAUUCCCGGUGUAGUGGUGAAAUGCGUAGAGAUCGGGAGGAAUACCUGUGGCGAAGGCGGCCUACUGGGCCGGACCUGACGCUGAGACGCGAAGGCGUGGGGAGCGAACGGG